This 253-nucleotide ribosomal RNA is filed under the name uncultured bacterium. RNAcentral describes it as "partial 16S ribosomal RNA". It matches the Rfam family "Bacterial small subunit ribosomal RNA", at positions 524 to 776 of the family's 1533-position model. The record is from RNAcentral.
UACGUAGGGGGCUAGCGUUGUCCGGAUUUAUUGGGCGUAAAGAGCGUGUAGGCGGCCAGACAGGUCCGUUGUGAAAACUGGAGGCUCAACCUCCAGACGUCGAUGGAAACCGUCUGGCUAGAGUCCGGAAGAGGAGAGUGGAAUUCCUGGUGUAGCGGUGAAAUGCGCAGAUAUCAGGAAGAACACCCGUGGCGAAAGCGGCUCUCUGGGACGGUACUGACGCUGAGACGCGAAAGCGUGGGGAGCGAACAGG